RNAcentral lists this ribosomal RNA (486 nucleotides) under uncultured bacterium. RNAcentral's name for it is "partial 16S ribosomal RNA". It matches the Rfam family "Bacterial small subunit ribosomal RNA", at positions 30 to 507 of the family's 1533-position model. The record is from RNAcentral.
AUUGAACGCUGGCGGCAUGCCUUACACAUGCAAGUCGAACGGCAGCACGGGUGCUUGCACCUGGUGGCGAGUGGCGAACGGGUGAGUAAUACAUCGGAACAUGUCCUGUCGUGGGGGAUAGCCCGGCGAAAGCCGGAUUAAUACCGCAUACGAUCUACGGAUGAAAGCGGGGGACCUUGGGGCCUCGCGCUAUAGGGUUGGCCGAUGGCUGAUUAGCUAGUUGGUGGGGUAAAGGCCUACCAAGGCGACGAUCAGUAGCUGGUCUGAGAGGACGACCAGCCACACUGGAACUGAGACACGGCCCAGACUCCUACGGGAGGCAGCAGUGGGGAAUUUUGGACAAUGGGCGAAAGCCUGAUCCAGCAAUGCCGCGUGUGUGAAGAAGGCCUUCGGGUUGUAAAGCACUUUUGUCCGGAAAGAAAUCCUUGGCCCUAAUACGGUCGGGGGAUGACGGUACCGGAAGAAUAAGCACCGGCUAACUACGUG